ACUCUGGAGGACAUUAUGCCAAGUGAAAUAGGCCAGACUCAAAGAUAAAUUCUGUAUGAUCUCACUUGUGGAGUUUUGCUGUUGUUUUUUUUUUUUUUUUUUUUUUUUUGAGACAGAGUCUUGCUCUGUUGCCCAGGCUGGAGUGCAGUGGCGCGAUCUCGGCUCACUGCAACCUCUGCCUCCCAGGUUCAAACGAUUCUCCUGCCUCAACCUCCCAAGUAGCUGGGACUACAGGUGCAUGCCACCAUGCCCAGCUAAUUUUUGUACUUUUUAGUAGAGACAGGGUUUCACCAUGUUGGCCAGGAUGGUCUUGAUCUCUUGACCUCGGGAUCCACCCGCCUUGGCCUCCCAAAGUGCUGGGAUUACAGGUGUGAGCCACUGCGCCCGGCUGUCACUUGUGGAAUUUAAAGUCACUGAACUCACAGAAGCAGAGAGUAGAAUUGGGGUUGCCAGGGGCUGUGGGAAAUAGGGAAAUGUUGGUCAAAAGGGCAUAAUCAGUAAUAAGAUGUAUAAAUUCUGAGGACAUAACGUGCAGGAUGGUGACUAUAGUUAAUAACACUGUAUUGUAUACUUGAAAUUUGCUAGGAGAGUAGAUCUUAAGUGUUCUCACUGCAUUUGCAGUGAUGGAUGUGUUAAUUAGCUCAGUUGUGGUGGUCAUUUCACGGUGUAUACAUAUACCAAAUCAUGAUGUUGCACACCUUAAAUACAUACAAAUUUUAUUUGACAACUAUCCCUCAAUAAAGCUAGAAAACAGAUGAUUGAUUAGAUGAUAGAUAGAUAGAUAGAUAGAUAGAUAGAUAGACAGACAGACAGAUGAAUGGACAGACAGACAGACAGUUUUCCUUCUUUAAAGGUUAUCUCUGUAACCGUCUGGCUCUGGAAUCCUUUUGAAUGAUAACUCUUUACCUUUCCAGUAUCUUCUACAGUAAUUGGUAUAGUCAAGGUUUCUACUUCUGGGAUCAAUUUUGAUCAUUUAUAUUUUGCUGAAAAAUCAUCCUUUUCUGCUGGUUUUCAAACCUCUUACCAUGAGUUUGUUUAUACAAGUCUCAAAAUGAUUUUAACUUAUCUUCUAUUUAUUGGUUUGCCAUUUAUUUUCUUUGUCUUUAGUUUGUACUCUUUUGCUAUCUUAUUUUCCCUUAAGUGGGCUUUCAACAGAUUUAUAUAUUUUACUGGUCUUUCCAAAGAAACAGCUUUCGGAUUUAUUUAUCCAUUAUUCUAUCCCUUUAAUUUCAGCUUUUAUCUUUAUUAAUUCCUUCUUCCUGUUUUUUUAGGUUUAUUUUGUUUCUCUUUAUUUCUUAAGCUGAGUAAUGACUUGUCCUAUUUUUUCUUUAUUCUUUAGUAAGGAAUAGAAAAUUUCCUCUUUCACUGUGCUUAGAAGUUUUGAUAAUAAAAUAUUCUUUUUUCUUUCUUCUCUGAUAACUUUCACUUCCAAUGAAAAUGGAAGUGAUGAUGUCAAUAUUUUCUUUGGUUUUCUUUUUGAUUCCAGGGUUAUCAGUGAGUGUGUUUCAUAAUUUGCAAGUGGGUAAAAUUUUUUAAAUUGCCUUCUUGUUAUUAUUUCUAUACCCAUUGCAUCAUGAUCACAGAGUGUGACCUGUUCAAUAUCUCCAUUUUCUUUGAUCUUUUGAAGGAUUUCUUUGUGGCCAUGAUUCAGGGGAAGGAGAGGGACAGUACACGUUCCAUGGACAUUUAACUGUCUAUUUUUAUACACUGACCAUGAUCUUUGAAAACGGACACGAAACGCAUUCACUUAAGGAUUGUUCUAUAGGACACCUCACAUGAUGUGGUGAGAAAACCCAUGAGAUUUGGAAUUUUAAAAUCCUGUCUCCUCCAUGCAUAGGCCUGGAACUCAGUUACCCUGUGUGUCAAAUGUAAAUUGUACCUGCCUGCCUUACCACAUUACUAGUGAAAAUUAAAUGAGCCUGGUGGUGCCCUCCCCGAAGGCUGUGCCUCCCCAAAGUCCCAGUUAACUAUUGAAAUACUGCCCUUAAAAAGCAGCUCCUCUGCAGCCCUGGUAAGCAACAGAAAAGCCUUCAAAUGGAGACUGGGUCUUGUCAGGCACCACAGACCAUGAAGCAUUGAGAAACAAACAGACCGCUACAUGUAUGUUACACAUGCCAAGAGGAUACCAGAGAAAGGCAAUCAUCCCCUAUCAUGCAUCCUCUGAAGCAGUUAAGUGUUUUAAAUUCCUUAAAACACUGAGUGUACAGUGGGGGAGGAGAGAAAAGACUUAAAGCAAUUUUGCUGUUACACUCAGCAGUGUAAAGAAUAUUUUUGAAACUAAAGACUGAUUGAAAAGGACAUCAAAAGAGUUUGAUUUGUUUGAUGUUUAGACACAUAUACAUGAUGCGGAUCACUGUUACAUUAACGAUGACCGUCUGUACGCCAGAUGGACUGCACAACUAUGUCAAGAGACAUCUGACACAGUGUGCCAUUUGAAAAGCAGAUUAAGGUAAAACCAUCCUAACACAAAUGAUUCCCCCAUCUCAUGUUUAAGGGUGCAACAAGCUAUUGUGAGUUAAAAUAAUUCAGAAAAUUGCAAUUAACUUUUAAGACCUUUCCUGCCUCAGUAAAUGCCACUGCGUAAGGAUCAGAAGUGGUGACAUUAUGCCCGAUCAAUUUCAAUGACUAGGCCAGACUCUUACGGAACAGGAGGUGGUAAACAGCCCUGAUAUUGAGAGGUACAAAGUCAGAUAUAACCUAGCAGCUGGCCUGUAGACUUACAUAAUCAUUUUACACUUGACAUUUCUAUAACAGCUCUUAUUCUGAGCACCUUGACUGGCAAAAAGAAGAAAGCCAAGAUAUGUGCUACUCCAUUCUCCCAGAACCUUCUUUUAAGGUUUUGGUCCCAUUAAAAAAAAAAAAAAAUCACACAUUUUUCUUCUGUUAGUUUUAUUCAUAAGAAAUAUAAAUAGAGCUGGGUGCAGUGGUUCACAUUUGUAAGCUCAGCGCUUUGGGAGGCUGAGGCAGGAGAAUCCCUUGAGGCCAGGAGUUUGAGACCAGCCUGGAAAACAUAGUGAGACCCUGUCUCUAUAAAAAAAUUUAAAAAUUAGCCAGGUGUGGGUUUGCAUGCCUGUAAUCCUAGCUACUGGGUCACUUGAGCCCAAUAGUUCAAGGCUACAGGGAGCUAUGACUUCAUUUCACUCUAGCCUGGGCAACCAAGUGAGACCCUAUCAAAGGAGGGGAGGGGAGGGGAGUGGAAGGGAAGGGGGAAAAGAAGAAAAGAAAAGAAGAAAUACUAAUGGUCAAUAAAUGUGUGGGGGGAAAUUUGGCCUACUCCCCAAAAACAUUUUAAUGCUAAUUAAAACAACAGCAGAGAAAGAGUUUUACCCAUCAAAUUGGCCAAGAUGAAUAAGAAUUAUAAGAUCCAGUGUUGGGAAGAUAUAAAGAAGUUGACAGUCUCAGAUUCAGCUAUCAAGGGUGUAAAUUGGUUCUAUACUAUAUUUUAGAAGAGUGAUUUAGAAAUUGAUAUGGUUUGACUAUGUCCCCACCCAUAUCUCAUCUGGAAUUGUAAUUUGAAUUGUAAUCGUCACAUGUCAAGGGAGGGUCCAGGUGAGAGGUGAUCGGCUCAUGGGGGCAGUUUCCUCUACGCUGUUCUCAUGAUAAUGAGAGAGUUCUCACGAGAUCUGGUUGUUUGAUAAGUGUCUGGUGCUUCCCCCUUCUCUCUCUCCUGCUGCCAUGUAAGAUGUGCUUUGCUUCCUCUUCAUUCUACGCCAUGAUUGUAAGUUUCCUGAGGCUUCCUCAGCAUGCAGAACUGUGAGUCAAUUAAACCUCCUUAUAAAUUACCCAGUCAUCUUAAAAUGAUAUACAUGAAAAUAAUUCAGUAAGCAUUGUAGGGCUGGUAUAGAAAUGGGUGCCAAAAGCCUUAGGAUUUGGCAUUUGUUGGAUUCAGAUACACUUUUUUGAGGAAUCUAUCCUAAAGAAAUACAAAUGGACAUUCACAAAGCUUUUUAUGAAAGAAUGCCCAUUGCAACAUUGUUUAAAAUGAAAAACUGGAACAACAUGAAUGUUCAACAACAAGAGAUCGCUUAAAUAGAAUUAUGGUAUACACUUAUGUUGGAAAUUAUUAUGGUAUAUACUUACGUUGGUAUAUGCUUAUGUUAGGCAUUAAAAUAAUUUGAAGAAGUUUAAUCCUGAAGUCCAAAUGAUGCCAAUAUUCAAAAAGAUGUGUAUAAAAAAAAUCACUUGUGGCAAGGCGUGGUAGCUCACACUUGUAAUCUCAGUGCUUUGGGAGGCCGAGUCUAGAGGAUUGCUUGAGCCCAGGAGUUCAAGACAGCCUGAGCAACAUAGGGUGACCCCAUCUCUACAAAAAAUUUUAAAACUAGCCGGGUGUGGUGGCACAUACCUGUAGUCUCGGUUAUUCAGGAAGCUGAGAUAGGAGGAUCACUUGGGCCUAAAGGGUUGAGGCUGCAGUGAGUUGUGAUCAUGCCACUACACUUCAGCCUGGGUGAGAGAGCAAGACCUUGUCUCAAAAAGUAAAUAAAUAAAUAAAUCACUUGCAACUGAACUAUUCGGAAUAAGCACUGUUAACACUAGGAUGUAUAAUUUUAAAGUUGUUUUUCUAUAUAGAUAUAUAAUUUUUCCUCCCUUUCUAAAAUUCUGGGCUUUCCUAAUAGGUAGUUUAUUCACAUGGUUAAAAAAGUACAGAAACGGGUAUACUGUAAAGUUUCCCUUUUAGUUCUGGUCUCCAGCCACCAAGAUUCCAAGCCCUAAAACAACUAAUAUUUUCAGUUUUUUAUACGUAUUUCCAGAAGUAUUUGGUGUACAGUCAUCCCUCGGUACAUGCAGGGAAUUGGUUCCAGGACCCCUAAGUAUAUUAAAAUCCAUGUGUACUCAAGUCCCACAGUGAGCCCUGUGGAGCUCACCUAUAGGAAAAGUCGGCCCUCCAUACGUGAGGGCUUAACAUCCUGGGAAUGCUGUAUUUUUUUAUCUGCAUUUGGUUGCACAUGCAGAACGCUCAGAUGCAGUGGGCCUACUGAAGAAAAUCUGCAUAUCAGUGUAUUAUCAACAGUCAAUUCUGCUUAUGAAUCUCCUUAUAUGUAUUCCACAUCCUCCUCCAUAUUUUAAUAUUUUAAAACCCAAUGUAGGUACAUCUUGCUUUUUUUUUAAUUAGUCAAAGAUAAGAUAAAGAAUGCCAUCAUUUAAAAAAAUUAUUAUAUGGCAUUCCAUAGUAAGACUACACUCAAAUUAGGCUAAACACAAAAUUUACUGGCCAAAUCAAGAUACUUUUGAAAGGGAAGAGCAUGCUAUUCCUAACUACUGCAGAACAGACAUAAACAAAGACUGUCCCCGCCAAACCUGGAUGAAUGAUCAUCCUAACCAUAAAUGACCACAACUAAUUUUACCAUUUCUCUGUUGAUGGACACUUAGGUUAUUUUUAAUCACAUGCUACCACAAAAAUGCUGCAAUGAAAACCUCUUUAUGCAUGUCAUUUCACAUAAAUGGGAGUGUAUCUGUAAAUUAUAACACUUAGAAGAGAAGUUGCUUAGUCAAAGGAUAUCUGUAUUUUUAAAAUUUGAUAGGUAUUUCCAAAUUGUCCUCCCUAAAGGUUGUCACCAUUUUCAUUUUUUCUGACAUAAGCAAGUAUUGCCUUUAUAAUAAGAUAAAACAAUAAGUUACUUUUGAAAUUUAAAAAAAGUCUGAAAAAAUGUAUAUUGAGCAAGUUUAAAGCAUUCUUGAUCAUAAACACAUACAGAAACACAAGACUGGAAAUAAUUAAAGUCAAAUGUAUUUGGACAAAUAGAAGUUCAAAAACAAACAUAAACCUCACAAGAAAUAUGCACAAAUCAACAGGUUAUGCAGACGGUGAACUAACAAACACUUUGUAAAUGUAUUGCUUAUUAAUGUCACUGUGAGCAUCCCAUCCCCUUUUUAUAUCUUACACAUUCUUCUUUUUGUCCAACUAGGCAAGUUAGUUUUCAUUUGAAGUCAAUAAAUGACAACAAAUGGCUGAUAGAAACCUGCCUUUUUUCUUCUUGGAGAACAAAUAGUUCCAAAAAGGUUAUUCUUCUACUUAGAGGCAGCUAUUGUAGUACCAACUGUGGCCAUUACAGCUGAUGGACCUGAAGCCCAAAGUAUAGGGGAAUCUCCUAUAAGAUCAACAGGCUGGGAGUAUCUGCUAGAAUUGUGCGAUCUCAACAUUGCAAGAGGCAAAUAUCUACUACCACCAGAUACAUUCCUGCUUCAUGUAUUUAAGCUCCAGGAAAAAAAGACACAGCUCCUUUCACAUAUAAAAAAUAAAACCCACACUUGCCAAAAUGUGUUUUAAAAAUCUCAUAUAUUUAGGCCCUAACCUUAAACAUCUUCCUACUACUCACAAGAUGCGCCUGAUAUGAGCUUUAUAUACAAUCAUAUAAAUUUGUAUGCCAAGUAGUUACAAACUAAGUACAGAGUGUUCUCAAACAUGACAGAAGAUUUCUAUGAGCACUUUCUAAAGAAUGUCAUAUCCGCAUGAUGAAACAGUGUUUGAAAAUUAUUUCCAAAAGAAUACACCCCUGAAUGAAUCCAGUUUAAAAAAAUUCAAACUUGUAAUGGGUUUGUGAAACUAUAGCACCAUGCUGGCACAUAAUAAAUAUUUACUGAAUGAUUGCAUUUGCGGUGAGGCAGAUAUUUACCCAUUCAAACCAUACCUGAUGAAAUAAUACAGAGCUAACAGGUAAAACAGCACUUUCUCAAUCACAAUGCCUUUAAAAAUCAGCGAUGCUUUUAAAAAAAUGCUAUCUGGUCAGUGUCUUCAUACUUAACAUGGUAACAACAGCUACUAGUCAGAAUAAUUACAUUAGUCUUCUACCAAUAGAUAUUUAGAGGUUACAGGUUGUUUCCAAUCAUUUGCUACUUCAAAAUAUGCCUCAAUAAAUUGUGUGUGUGUGUGUGGGUGUGUGAUUUCACAUAAUUGGGAGUGCAUCAGUAGGAUUUAAAAAGCCAUAGAAAUGAAAUUGUGCUGAGUAUUUCACAGACAUUAUUCUUUUCAUUCUCACAACAGCCCUCCAAGAUGAAUUCAGUGGUUCCUAACUGACAGAUGAGGAAAUUAAAACCUAAAGCUCAGAGUGGUAAAAUGAUUUCUCCAAGGUCAUACGGCCAGCAAGUGGUAGAGAUGGGAUUUAAACCUACCCCCAAGUGCCCAACCUAUUUCGCUCCCUUACACAGUCUCAUAAAUGUUUUCCAGAAAGCAAAAAGCAAACAGCGUAAUAGAAUACUCGAGCCACAUUUGAAGUCUUAAUAGCUUACAUUCAACACAUUAAAACAAUGACAGGGAUGAUGGUUAAGCUGAUAGGUUUGUAGCCUGUGCUUGUCUCCCAGGGAUGAGUCUGGAUCCUAAAAUAUGAAAAGAGAUGGGCACAGUGGCUCAUGCCUGUAGUCCCAGCACUUUGGGAGACUGAGGCAGGUGGAUCACCUGAGGUCAAGAGUUUGAAACCAGCCUGGCCAACAUGGUAAAACCUCAUCUCCAUGAAAAAUACAAAAAAAUUAGCCAGGUGUGGUGGCAGUAAUCCCAGCUACUUAGGAGGCUGAGGCUGGAGAAUCACUUGAACCCGGGAGGUGGAGCUUGCAGUGAGCUGAGAUUGUGCCACUGCACUCCAGCCUGGUCGACACAGCAAGGUUCUGUCUCAAAAAAGGAGAGGGGAGGGGAGGGGAGGGGAGGGGAGGGGAGGGGAGGGGAGGGGAGGGGAGGGGAGGGGAGGGGAGGGGAUCUUCAAGGAUAUAAGUCAAAAUCAAGAUGGUCCUCUUCACACCUUCAACACAUUUUAUCUUUCUGAGACUUUUACUUGAUGACCCCUGCCAGAUCCCACCUGAUUCUGUACUUAAGCUCUGCCUGGAAUAAACCUAGUUCAACAAAACCCAUGAUAUUUCCUGCCGCCUGAGUUUGCAUUAUAGGAAAGAGUUUUGUUUGAAUAAUUUAGCACAAAUUCCCUCACAGAUGGCAUAUAAGAGAGAUUUGUCUUCCUAAUUGUAUUAUAGACGGGAGCUUAUGGCAAAGGUCCAGGACACAGAACUUUAAAAAUAGCUCUUUAAGCUAAUGACCUAAUAGCCAUUGGCUUUUAUAAUCCAGUAUCUCCCCUUGGGUCCCUUAUAAUACUUUACACAUGCAAAGUGUGUAUUACAACCUUUAUGAGGAGGACCUGACAACACGUCUCAAAAACCUUAAAAAUGUGGGUUUUCUUUGAUCUAGCAACUUUACUGCUGGGAAUUUGUCCUAAAAAAUGAUCAGGAAAAAAAGAAGGUUUAUGUGCAGUAUUGCUCAUCACAAGUUGAUUUAUAGUAGCUUAAAAAUAGCAACCACCCAAAUGCCCAGCAACAGGAAUGCAGUUAAGCAAUUUAUUGCACAUUGAUGUGGGAAAAGGGUAUACAGCCAUCAAAAUAGCAUUUGCGAAGAAUACUUAACAAUAUACGGAAGUCCUCAUGAUCAAGGUCCAGGGAAAAUGAAGGCUGGAAAAGUGAUGCACAGUGUAACCUCAACCAUGUCAUUUACAUACAUAUCAACAUACAGAGAAAUUACUAGAGGAAUGUCAACCAAAUGCUAACAGUCUCUGAGUGGACUGCUAUGCAUGAUUUUAUUUGCCCCUUUAUAUAUUUUUUAAUUUUUAUUUUUACAUAGUGAUUACAUAUCAUAGUUAAAUCUAGAAAAAGAUGGCAAUGAUUUUUUAAAAAAGAUUUUCUAAAUUGAUUGUUGAUGCUGUUGACUUUCUCAGCUAUUGGUUUUUUCCAGUGACAGCCAAGCCAAUUAGACAUGGACUAUUUUUCUCUUGCCUUCUGUUGUCUGAAAAUUCACUGCUUAUUGGCAUCACCACUGGUGCAUAGAAAGAGGAGACACGACAGUAAACUUCAAAGCCAUCGUUUUGGUAGGAGAGGCUGAUUGCCAUACAUUGGUUUGGAGAAGAUCUGAAAGUCCUACACUGGCUAACAUUACUUGGAGAUUUUCCUUAUCUACAUAACCCCUAAUGCAGAAACUGUCCCAUUCCUGUAGAUAACCAUAUCUUGGUUUGAGGAUCUAAGAACCUCUAAAUUAGGUACUUCCGUGAUGUCACUGAAUAGCAGUAGCCUUUGGGAAGUGCCUGCCUCCUCUGAACACUCGUCUGACUCCUCUUUCAGUUUCCUCAUUCCCGUUGCCUUAUGUCUAGAAAGUUCUUAACCCACCUAAGAAUUACUGACUAGGUCCUAUCUAACUGCCAAGAUACUGAAAUCAAAACACAAACACCAUGUGACAAUACUCUGGUUGUGCGAUUUCACAGACUCUAAUUACAGUUCAUUUCAGCCUGACCUUGCAUUAUUCCUUUCUGUGUUUUCUCAUCCAAGCUUAUGAGAGAAUCUGUUUCACGUUAUUUUCCUUGACCAUUACUCAUUUAAAAUUUGCUACUAAGAGCCUUGCUUUUUUCUGCCAGAAAAUCUUAUCUCAGAGGUCCUUCUUUUUAUUUACUUCACUGUCAAAUUCCACAUCACUCAAAUUCCACUCUUAAUUUUCCUUUUGGUAUUAAGAUGUCUCAUAUUUUCUUUCCUUAAGUAAAAAAAACUAGUAUUGUAAAAUAUGCAAUCUUGGACACUAAAAUGUAAUAUAAAACCAAAUCCAAUGGUAAUUCCCCUAAAUCCAAUGUAUUGCCAAUCGUCAAAUUUUGUUUCUCUGUGGUUUCUAAACCCCCGAACUGUGUGUAUCUCUAUACAACUUAUAAUAAUAAUUUGAGUGGGGCACUUGCAAGAUCAUUGUCUUGCAUCUGUGAAGAUGUUGUUAAUUGUGUUACAUUUCCAGAUGGAGCAGUGUUUAGAAAAGUUUGACAAAGCAGAAUUCAGCUCAGCAGCUAACGUUUCUUUUUCUCAUACUCAGUGCCCAUCUCAGCCUCUCCAUUUGCUCCCACCCCUAUCAACAAACCAACCAAUAAUUAUUUCUUAGAACUGCUCCUUUCAUGUUUCAUUCACGCUUAGGUAGAAAUCAUUGGAGAUUAAAAUAUCCCCAGUCUCAAAUAUAUUUCCAGUUUACUAUAAAUGAAAGGCUGCUUGCUAUAAGGCACCCCUCAAGGAAUUUCAGGCUCUGGUAAAUACCUAAUAAGAAUAAAGGUUUCUGAGGUGGCAAUGGUUUUCGACAUCCUUGACAUCAAACCCUAUAAAAGCCAUCUACUUCCCCUUCCUUUGAGGCCAGGCACCACACCACUCUGGAGACCCACUUUGAAUCUUGUCAUUACCUGCAGUGAUACUGUAGAUAAUCCAGUAUCAUAUUCCAUGGCCGAACACAUUAUCCAUCAGGCUCUUGCUCACCCUCAAAAUGCACUAGUUCUUGGACCUCACACCAAACUUUUAACCUGUUGAUCACCCAGUGGAACAUGUUGGCUCCCUUAUAAAUUCAUUGUUUCCAAAUUCAGCUGAGUCCUCACUGAGGCCAUAAUUUUAUCCCAUUCCCCUCAACAACAAAUCCAACCUCCUGCUUCUCUCUUCAUAUUCUCUCUGUGACACCCCUCCCACUUACUCUCAGACAUCCUUGCCUGCUGCUGCCCUGAGAAAGUCAAGGCCUCCAGAAACGGCACUGUCAAUACUCCAUUCCUUUUUUAUACACUCCUGUGUUCCGUCUCCUUUCCCCUGCUCCGAGGACAAAAGAAGUCUCUCCUUCCUUGUCAAAGUCAUCCCUUCCUAACUUCCAAGACUUCACACUUAUUUUCCCCUCUCUUCUCUGUCUCUGUCUUCAUCUUUUUCUCACCAGUCUUCUCCUUGUCCUAUAAACAAGACAAAAAACAUUUCUACCCUAACGAACAGUCCUCCAAGGACUGUGUGGCUCCCUGAGCCACACAUUCUCUCCUCUUCUUUCUCAGCUCUCCUGCCCACAAGAGUUGAUCAUAAUCACAGUCUUUAUUUCUCUCCUCCUGUUUGAUCCCCCUCACAAUCUGACUUCAAUUCUCACCAUCUGGUACAAAUCCUCUUACGGUCAACAAUCAUUCCUUACUUGCUAAUCCAAGGGACACUUUUCAGUUCUUGCAAUGUGCUAAAUCUCUACCUGCAUUUGACACAGUUCAUUACCUCCUAUUUCUGCACUCUCCUUCAAAUGGAUGCUAGAAUGCUCCACUUUCCACUGUUUCUCUGUUUCUUUUUCUCAGUCCUCUUCCUGAGUCCCUUUUUCUCCCCCAAUCCUUAAACGACAGUUUCUCCAAGUCACACCCCAUGGCCAAUAACUCUCAUCAGUCUAUUUUUGUUGGGCGGUGCCAUUCAUCCUUCUGUCUUUAACCUUUGCCUAAAUGUUAUUGAUUCUUGAAUCCCUCUUGUCCGCCCAGAGCUACCUACUAAACAUUUCUUUGCCACAAAAUGUUCGGAGCAGGGCCACUGUUACAGAUGGUGGAAAUUAUAAUUUCCUCCUUUCCUCAAGUGCACAGGUCCAAACCAGGAUUCAUUCUUCCUCAAAAUUAACACCUCUGCCUUAGCAUAAGCAUGCAAACCAAAAUCAAUACAGGCUAGUGUCUACUCCACUGCAACGCUAAUGCAAAACAUAUCACUGAAGGAAAAGAGGGCUGAUAGAACAAAAGCAAGGCUUAAACUUCAGAUUCAAAGGCUCCUGUUGAAACCAGAGAGUCCCUACAGCAAUUAAGUGGAAGUGAGGCCACAUGUUUUGAAAGUAUUUCUUUAACCCCUUGGAAAGCAAAGUUUUGUUAGUGCUAUAAGCAGAAUGCCUCAGGUCAGAGCUUCGCUGUAAGACUACUGGUUAAAGCACAGAAUGGCCACAGAAUUAUGCGUGCCAGGCAGGCUUACUAUUUUCAGCAGUCAAGCUGAUGCAGCAUAUCUAAUGUUUUGUGGAGGUCACAGAGUACAUUGCCAAGGAUACCGUUCUGUGUUACUGAGACACAUGGUGACACUCAUACCUAAUAUCCCACGCUGGGACCUGCUGUCCACCAACCAUUCUGCAAACAUGUGGUUCAUGCUGGGCAGACCCUCAGCUGUGUCCUCAGCAAUGAUGCUAUAAAUGGCUGUCAUUUAGUCUUAUCUAUUUACUCAUGAAAGAGAAAUUCAGUCACAAUGGCCAGAGAAAUGCAAAAUAGAUUAAAUAGCAUAGGAACUUUAAAGCAUAAAUCCUUUCCUGAUGAUGACGAGGAACAGAAUUUUAAUCAACAGGUUAUUUUUCAGUGAACUAAAGUGAAUUUGAUGCACAGCUAAUAUUGAGAAUCUGCUUUUAGUGGCAUUUUUGGAGUCCUUAUUAUGUUUCAUUAUCUUUGAAACCCACUUCAAUAUUGAAUAUGGUCCUUGACUUGACUACUUUGACAAUGCAUCUCCAGUAAUCCGAGUACAUACAAUAUAUUUACUAUAGUAUUUGGAAACCACAGGUACUAUAUAGCUAAUGUGUUCAGCCAGAUUUAAAACAGGUCCUAGAUUUCAGCUGUGCCUCAUCUCCUAAUUGACUGUUGAGGGCCGACCCUCCUAUUCUUUUACUUCGCGUUUCCAAGUAGAGGAAGCUCCCUUAGCAUAACCCCUGGGCAUUUUUCUGCCCUCUUGCUCAUGGGGUAUCUGAGUGAUGAAGGAACUGAGCAUGUUUAGCCAAGCCUCUUCCUCCAACUUCGGGCAAAAUGUGCACUUUCUCUUCCACUCCAUACUACAGGUUUUACGGGAGCUGCCCCUACAGGAGAGAACUGCAUGGUGGGCUCUUCCUGGUGGCUGAGUGGGUAAGUCUGGCUUCGUUCAGGCUAAAAGGGCAGCAGGCACCCUUGCCACAGACCGAAGUCUUCAAUUGAGCUCUUCUCAUUAAGAAAGCGAGCAUUUUGAUCUCUAACUCCUGCAUCUCUCAAGUGGGGUAACAGGUCACGCAGCAUUAUUUAUCAUGAGAAACAAAACCAAUUAUUAAACAAUAUCUAUGCUGGUUCGGGUGUAGGCAUUUACACAGUCAAUUCUUAUCAGUUUCCCUCAGUUGGUAAUUUCUAUUUAGUACAAUGUUAAGAAGCACUAAAUUGUUUUUUUUAAUUAUAUGAGACAUUUCUUGAUUACAUUCUGUGCAUAUUUUCAUUACACCAUAUGUAGAAGAUCAAGAGAAUGACAGACUAAAAACACAAAGAGAAAAAAAGAGAAGAAAAAAUGUAAUAAGACUGCCAAUGCACAAAGAUGGGCCACAUAACCUGAAUAGAGAGGUAAAUAACAUGUCUAGAAAUUUGAGAGAAAACUUUUAAAUGUUUAUCUCUGCAAUCAAUUUCAAAGUCAAGCAAUCUUUCAAUGGUUAUUUACUAUUCAUAGUAACUGCCAAUACCUCGACCUAUAGCCUCGCCUUAUUUUAUGACAAAGGAGACAAUUUACAUUUGAGUAUAUCCUCCAAUAUCCACAGACAUUUCAUCAACAUUUUGGCCUAUUUUAGCAGCAUCAUAUUUUUCUCAUUCAGUCUUUCUGAAGGAUAGCCAGAAGAAAUCAUCCAUUUUAGAGUAUUUUUCUCGCAUUAGUUUUUGAAGAAAUCUAGAUCCAAAAAUAAGUAGAACAUUAUGUCACCACUGUUUUCAAUACAUAUACUCUGUGUGCAUGUGGAUCAAACCCAUGACACACCAUUGCAAGGGAAUGCAACAGUUCUUGUGUUGUAACUCCGGUGCAUCAGGUCAGCUGUCACGUUGGCUCUCCUGAAGCUGGACCUUGAUAACUUUUUGUUUUAAAAUUAUUUUCAGAUUACACAAUUUAUUGUAAAGUGAUAGGAAAGCUUUCUUAGUGAUGAGUCUGUAAUUUCACUAUCAAUUAUGGUUGUAAAUACUGGAUCCUAUUGACCAUUUAUUCCUCAAAUGCCAUUUUACUGCCCAUUUAAGUAACCGUCAUAGCUGCUUUUUUCUUUUUUGAGAAGGAGUCUCGCUCUGUCGCCUAGGCUGAAGUGCAGUGGUGCAAUCUCGGCUCACUACAACAUCUGUCUCCUGGGUUCAAGAGAUUCUCCUGCCUCAGGCUCCUAAAUAGCUGGGAUUACAGGUGGGUUUCACCAUGCCUGGCUAAUUUUUGUAUUUUUAGUAGAGCCGGGGUUUCACUAUGUGGGCCAAGCUGGUCUCGAACUCCUGACCUCGUGGUCCGCCUGUCUUGGCAUCCCAGAGUGCUGGGAUUACAGGCAUGAGCCACCACGCCCGGCCUAUAGCUGCCAAUUUUAAGGACAUUACCUGGGAGGUGAAAUGAACUUAUCAUCUUUUCUGAUGCCACUUAAGCACAAGAUUUCUAAAAAAAGAGCUAUUUAUUACUACCAAACAAGUGUAGCAAUACUUCCAAAGAUAAACACAAAAAGACCUGGAUUCUAAUCAUGCCUUUCUGUGCACUUAUUGGUAAUACUGGGCAAACUACAUAAUCUGUCUAAGCCCCAGGUUCCUCAUCUAUAAAAUGCAGUAACACUUACCUACCAGGUUUUCCUAGGGAAUAAAGGAGAUAAUUCAAGUAUAGCACCUAACUCAGUACCUAACCCUAAGUAGGUAGUUAAAAGUAUGGGCUCUGGAAUUUAAUUCUGCCUCAGUCAUAUAUUACUACUAUUGCUGCUACUAUUGACCUUGUCAUGAUUAUUUUUGCAUAAAUACUUUACUUAUUUGGCUGAGAGCAAGUCAAAAGUUAAAAAAAGUUUUGCUGACGUGCUUAUAAAGCCAACAAAAACACUUACUGAAUAUCUCAAACAUGCCAGGCAUUGUUCUGAGGGCUUUAAAUGUAUUAUCUCAUUAAUCUUAAAAACACUUUCAUUUUAAUAUUAUCCCAUGUACAGCAUAAUAUAUGAGGAAACCAAGGCACAGAGAGGUAGAGUAACUUCAGCAUGUAUGCACAGCAAGUGACGAGACAGGGUUCAAAUCCAAGCAGGUCCCCCCCUUAACCUCAGCAUCCUUUAUUCUGCCUUCUUAUGCAGACCCAUCAGUUUUGUACUGUGCUAUGACACACCACUGGGCAGAGCCCUUGCUAGUUCUCAGAACUUGGUGAAAGGAAGAACAGCUUUAAGAAUAGAGGAGUUUGAGCAGGUAGGUUUUGCAAGUAUUCUGAUGGGCACUUAUAAGAGCACUGCUGAUUGGGAUCAAAGAAUUAUAGGAUUGACAAUGAUUCAGUCCUCAUGAUGAAGCUGCCCAGUCUAGGCUUGAAAGACUUCAGUAACAAGGAAGUGGUCAAUUUCUGAUGCAUUUCAGCCCAUCUUCGGAUAACUCUGUAUGUGAUAGAAAACUCUUCUUUUUUUAAGUUUAUUCCCAGCUUUAAUGGGGUAUAAUUAACAAAUAAAAAUUGUAUAAAGUGUAUGAUGAGAUGUUUAUCAAAACAUCACAUUCUACAUUUUAAAUUUAUACAAUUUUUGUAUAAUGAUUUUGUGUAGAAUGAUUAGCAUAUCACUUCACAUAGUUAUCAUAGAAAACUCAUUCUUACAUUGUAUCAACAUGUUGAUGCUCCUAGUGACUUCUCCUCAUUGGUUCUAAGUAUACUUCCAGGAAACUGCCUACAUCAUGCUGAGGCUCUCUUUCACCCAACUGUCCUUCAGUAUUCUGAUAUUUCAUCAUGUCUCCCCCAGGCCUAUCUCUUCCCCACAUUCAAAGCCUUUCCCACAUUCAAAACCUCACUCAAAGCUCUGCAGCCCAUGGAUCAAGGAGUAAUUUCAAUUUUCAAGUCCUAUUAUCUAAGAAAUAUAUUUGUAAGGCUAUAGCUGCCAUAGAUAGUGAUUCCUCUGAUGGAUCUGGGCAAAGCAAAUUGAAGACCUUCUGGAAAGGAUUCAUCAUGCUAGAUGCCAUUAAGACCAUUUGUGAUUCUUGGGGGAGGCUCAAAAUAUCAACAUUAACAAGAGUCUGGAAUAAGUUGAUUCCAGUCCUCAUAGAUGAUGUGGAGGGGCUCAAUGUGACAUGACCACCCAUAUGGCCUGACUCCUACCUUAGUGUCUUCACCACUAGGGAUGCCUACUUUAGUGGUUAAGAGUUCAGGGAUGAAUGAGACAGACUUUGGUUUGAACUCUGGCUCUGUCUUACUAAUUUUGUGAUCGUGGACAAGUUUCCUUAUCUGUGAAACAGGAAUAAGAAUAUCUACAGUAUAAGUUGUCAGGGUUAAAUAAGAAAUUCCCAAGAGCUUAGUGCCAUGCCUAGUACACAGUCUGUAUCCCCAAAUGUUAGUUGCUUGUAGUGGUUAUUAUCAGCAUCAUCUUAGACACUGUCAGAGUGUGGGGCACAAAUUGGGAUGGGAUACCUACCCUGGUCCAGACUCAGGGUGGCACAGGUGGAGCAGCAACAGAUUCCUAAGCUCCAACCACAUACAUCACAACUCCAGUGCCAAGGCUGAGACAGUCAAAAUGCCCACCUUUCCCUCUCUCAACCAUCAGAUCCCCUAAAAUUUGGGGACCUAAUAGUUCACCAGUCCAAGCAUACUUGUGGUAAGAAGUACCUGGACCAUUGUUAAACAUCUUGGAAUUCUUCUUAGAGAAAGAUACAAAAGCUAAGUGUUAUUUUUACCAGGAGACAAAGGAAAUUCUAAAAAAUCAUAAGACUCUAUCCAGAACAAUGAAAACAGACAACAAACACUAGUUUGAAAUAUAUAUAUAUAUUUAUCUCAUAUAUAUAUUUAUCAUAUAUUUAUUUAAUUUAUCAUAUAUAUGUGUGUGUGUGUGUGUCUGUGUGUGUGUGUAUGUGUGUGUGUGUGUGUGUGUGUGUGUGUGUGUGUGUAUCCGAAAUAGCUAACUUCUAACUAUCUUUCCUAAGAUGCCAACCCAUGACAGAGAGCCCUCGAAUCACUAUGCAUAAAGCAAGGAGAUCUUGGCUUGGAUGACUGAUCCUUGCUUAAAACAGAACAGUGACAACUAGAAAAGAAAACCACUCCAAUAUCCCACGAGCUUCUAGGCACUGGCAAAACAGCAGUGUCCCAUCACUUUCACAACCUACCAAGGUCUAAUUUGAGGACACUGCUUAUUCAUAGUUUGUUCUCUUAUUUGUUUUUAAUUGGGUGUAUCAGUCUGUUCUCACACUGCUAUAAAGAACUGCCUGAGACUGGGUAAUUUAUAAAGGAAAGAGGUUUAAUUGACUUACAGUUCUGUAGGGCUGUCUGGGGAGGCCUCAGGAAACUUACAAUCAUGGCAGAAGGCAAACUCCUCACAGGGCAGUAGGAGAGAGAAAUGAGUGCUGAGUAAAGGCGGAAGCCCCUUAUAAAACCAUAAGAUCUCGUGACAACUCACUCACCAUCACGAGAACAACACAGGGAAAACCUCCUCCACGAUUCAAUUAUCUCCACCUGAUCCUGCCCUUGACAUGUGGGGAUAUUACAAUUCAGGGUGAGAUUUGGGUGGGGAUACAGAGCCAAACCAUAUUGUAGGGACAAAUUAUCCUUCAGGUAAUUUGGAUUUCCUAGACUCAACGGCUUAUAGUGAGAACUGACAUCAGUCAUGCUAACUCUAUGGAAGUCCCUGGGAAGUUUCUGGAAUAGGAUACAUUAAUUUCACUGAGGACAAAACAGGGAUCAUAUCCACUUUUUUCUGUAUAGAAAUAUCGGGUUUAAUGUAUGCUGCAUUAAUCAUGCCUACUUUUGUAUUCCCCCACAGAACCAAGCACAGACCCUUAACCAUACUAUGUACUCAAUAAGUAUUUACUAAAUAAAUGUUCCCAAAUAGCAGGCAAGUGUGUCUUUUAUUUUUCAUUAUAAUAACCUCAAGCAAUAAUGCUUUCACGGGAACCAGGAAAACCUGAAAUAGCCUCAAUGUGAAUUCUCUUCUGCCGCCAGAGCAAAUGGGUGAGAGAAGCCUCUGGAUUUAGCUAUCUGAAUUCUAAUUCCAGGUCUACCACCUUGGGCAAGUUACUCACCUCCCAUGCUCCUUUCCUCAUCUGUAAAAUGGGAACAAUCAUAUUAUCUAUACUUCUUACACUUGUUAUGAGAAGUAAUUGAAAUAACAUACAAAGUACAUAAGGAGAGCUUUGAGCCUAUAAUGAGCACUAAGUAAAUAUUAGGUAUUGUAUUAUCUGCUGGCUGAUGAGCCUAGGGUAAGUCACUUAACCAUGCUGUUCUAUAAUUUCCUGAAGUGUAAAACAGAGAGGGGGAACACAGUUCCACGGAUCCUCCUGCUCUAGGAUGGAGAGAAGAGGACUGCUAAGAAGUCCAACACUCCUGACUUAAAUUUGACAGGAGAUCCCUGAUGGUAAAUUUUCUGAUAGCUGGUCCAAGAAUGAAGAAGUAGGCAAAAUGUUAUAGUCUCCUGUUUUCAUCUCUAAUAGAGAUAUAUUAGGACUUUAGUGAUAAAAUCUGAUAAUACCUGGCUAAGAGGAAAAGGCGGGUGAUUUGUAGGGAAAAAUGAGAGGGCAUUGUCAUGCAAAGCAUUCACAAGCAAUACUUGUUCAUUUUUUGCAGGAUGGGUAGAGGGAGGUGCUGUUCUCCAAAGCACAGUUGCUUUUCAUGCCAUUGGUAUAUUGGGUUUCCCAGAAUUUCUCAGUAAACUACAAAUUCAGGACAAUGGAGGAAAGAAAUUUGCUCUACUUUUUAGCAUCUAUCACUAUAAAUGACUCAAUUCUACUCUUUUGUGUAGGAAAAAUACUAAAAUCCAUUUGCAAGUAUCUGGGCUGCUUACUUAAUUUUGAGAGAUACUUGCUUCAUUUUACAAGCUGUUUGCGGGGUUCUGAUUAUCUAUGCUCCAGAUACAUCCCUGGAAGAGAAUAACAUACCUAGAGUAUGGAUGUCAGGAUAAAGACAUUAACAGGUAGCACUUACUGAGCAUUUACUGUGUGUGCAUACACUGCAGGCCCCCAUAUAUAUCCCCUUUUAUCCAUAAUCUCUUGAAUAUAUUACCAUCAAGUUUGACAGAUCAAAGAAACUGAGUAUGGGAGAGGCUCUGUGACAUGUACACUAUCACAGAGCUGGUCGGUGAUGGCACAGAGAUGUGGGCCAAGGUCUAUAUAGGCCACGGUUUAUGCUAUGAACCUUCAACUAUUAAUAACAGAAGAUGAAUCUUCCCAACUUAAGCACAGUGUUUGAAGUUUACAGGACAAUCCUUUGCAGUGUUCCACUGGGAGAGGAAAAUAGACCCAUCUUCAGAAUUGAUGCUGCUUGAUUUAAUCUAGUUAAAAAGCUAUAAUUGGGGAAUCAAAUCCUUUCAUAACAUUCUGCCCAGUGUACUCUCACUGAUUGUGUCAUUCCAAAGAUCUUUUCUAUCAAACAUUUAUCAGUUCUGACAAAAGGGAAAGCAAAAAUCACCCCUCCCCCAUGACCCAGAAAGAGCAAUAUUUUUCUCCUUGGUGCAGAUACCCAAAUACCUAUUUAAUAAUUCUGUCAAAUCCUUAGCCCUACAGAAGGGAGAUACAGGGAUCAAUACUUAUUUCCAGACUCCAGCCUGAACUUUCCUAUUUUAAACAUUUCCGUACCAAUAAUCAUUGCCACAGUGGACUAUGUAGCCAUCCAGAUACUAGGGGUAACAAUUUUGAAUUUUGCUACAGAUUUUGCUAUCUAAUCAGCACAAUUUUUAAAGUCUAAAUUAAUUUAUUUUGGGACAGAAUGACUGGACCCAUGCUAAUUCUCAUGACAGGUCAAAAACAAUUUCCUUUUUGUCUCAGCAUUGCACCAAAAUUGUUAUCCUACUACCAAUACUUAUUGACACUUUUCCUUUUAUUUCUGGAUAGGAACUUAGCUAAUUGACAUUCUCUCAGACUUCUUCAAAUGUUACAGGAGACAAGGGAAAGUUAAAAUACCACUCAGAAAGCCUGACUCAUCCUCACCACACUAGAAAGGGGAAAGUAAGGAAAACUCGUACACCCCAAUCACUCUACUAAUGGUGAAAUAAAAUUUUUAAAAGGAAGCAAAAAGGAUGACAGAAAGUUGUAACUGGAAACUGAACAUGCAAAGUGGAGAGAGGUUGAUGGGCCUCUUUUUCAAAAGAAGUAGGACAGGACUGUGACUCUUUCAUGCCCAUAUCUGGCCCUGGCACCAGGAACACCUGAAAAAGGGUACCUUGGCUACUUCUGAACACUGCUCAGAGGCUCGUAACAGAGGCAGAAGCAAAAUAAAGCCCCAAACCCACAAGCAAUAAUGAUACUGCCUAUGAAAGAGGGUGAGACGUGCAGAAAAUGUUUUAUAAUCAGAAUUCUCUCUAGAGAGAAGGCUUUUUAGAGGCCUUUGGGGAGAUUUCAGAGGAUUCUUAAAUACCAUUUUCAAGCAAAUGUUUACUGAAGUGCAUGCUCUUGUGACAUCCGUCUAUUUCUUCACGGUGUAAUUAGGAGGCAUAAAGAAUAGAAUUGUUGGUUACUUUUCCCAUUCUGCUGUUCCCCUAGUCUCUUUUUGAUCAAAUUCCCAGUAGGAAUUUAGUUCUUCAACAUCAGUGGAAUUUUUGCAGAAUAUCCACUUCUUUUUCUUUCCCAUGGUACUUGUCCACAUUUUAGUGCCCAAGAAUAUGAACUGAAGAGCAAGAGAGACUUAAAGAAAUUUUGUAAACUGUUUUUUCAUAUGAGAUAAGGCACACAAACUUCCCCCUUGAAAACCAUAAACAAGACUUGAAAGCCCCAUGUUUAUUUACAGCCUUCUCAAAACCUAUCACACAAGAGCAGCGACUAUACAUUCUAAUUAGUUCAUCUGUAUUCUGCUCACACAUCGCCAUGCUCAAAGAACUUUAAAAUGUUCAUCAUCAUUUACGAACAAGCCCUGACUCACCAAGAUUUACAAAGUAAUCAGCAGCAAAGUUAAUUGGAAUCUAGAUUUUCUAACACCUACAGAAAAAUCCAUGCAGUUCUGGAGGGGGAAAAAAAUACAGCCAAGGAAGCAAGACUAAAUUUAUGUGCAGCAUUUCUAAACUGGAGAGAAAGGAAGGGAGAAUAAUGUUUAAAACAUUUAAAUGUGUGUGAGCACAGUAUUGUUUCUUUUCCUUUCAUAUUUAGGUUGGAUUAAACAACACAAGGUCAGAAAGAGCCUGGCAGCUUCUACAGAUCCAAGUCAGCAUUUGGGGCUUCUCAUGGGUCAGAAACAUCCUGAGGUGGGAAAGAAUCAGAAUAGUUGUUUUUUUGGUUUGUUUGGUUUGUUUGUUUUUUUGAGACACGGUCUCACUCUGUUGCCCAGGCUGGAGUGCAGUGCUGUAAUCAUGGCUCACGGCAGCCUUGACCUCCUGGACUAAAGUGAUCCUCCUGCCUCAGACUCCAGAGUAGUUGGGACUAUGGGGAAGCGCACCACACCUGGCUGAUGUUUGUAUUUCUGUAGAUCCAGGGUUUCACCAUGUUGCCCAGGCUAUUCUUGAACUCCUAAGCUCAAGUGACCCAUCUACCUUGGUCUCCCAAAGUGCUGGGACUACAGGAACAUGCCACCAUGCCUGACCGAUUUAUUUUUUUUGUAGAGACAGGGUCUCACUAUGUUGCCCAGGCUGGUCUCAAAUUCCUGGGCUCAAGUAAUCCUCCUGCCUCAGCCUCCCAAAGUGCUGGGAUUAUAGGCGUGAGCCAUCAUGCCCAGCCUCAGAAGAGUUUUUAACCAAAGCCCAAAAAAGACAAUAGAGAGGGGAGUACACAAGGAUGAAGCUUAGAGAGAAGCAAGCACAUUUGAGGGAGGGGAAGACUGAGGUUUUCAUUCAUGUCUAUGUACUUCAGAAGCCUAGAUUUUCACCAUUAACAGAGUGCUGCUUUCCACUGUGCCCUUAUGCUUAUAUAAGGUAAAUGACAGUCAGACUUGUGUGGCCCUGAAAGCCUUCUGCAGGAAUUUGAAGUCUUUCAUUGCUGCAGUGAAAGGGCAGGAGAGUCACAGAAUCCCCACUGUGCUUUGACACAUGAGCUUUGACAAAGGCCAGGAGGAAUAGAAAGGAAAAGGUAGAUGUGUGUGUGAGAGAGUGUGGACUUAGAAUCUACAGAACUUUGGAACAACUAGAUGGAGGGGUGAGUGCUGGGAACACUUCCAGGAUGCUGGCUAUAAGAAUUGUGCUGCCAAUAAAGGACAUAAGGUGUUAAGGGAAAUAAGGAAUGCAGAUGGAGGAACGGGUUGUUUGAUUCAUUACACUUUGGACAGUUUGGACAGAAUAAAGUGGAGAAAUUGUCAGGAACACAGGAAAAGAAGUCUAGGUAGUACUUGGAAAUAAGCCCUGGAAAGAGAUCGGGACUAUCAAUAGAGACUUGGGAAUUUUUGGCAUAUGGACUUGGGGUUCCUUAGCAUGUAGACAGUGGUUUAAAAGAAAAGAGCAAGCAGAGUUGUCAAGAGAAAAAUGAUAGACAGAGGUGCACAAGAAUCAAAGACAGAACCAGAAGAAAUAUCUGCGUUGGGUAGGGGUAGGGUGCAUAUAAAGGAAAUGUAGGAGAGCUAGAAGCUGUGGUGUGGCAACAGCCAACAAGAAAGCUAAUUUCAGGUAGUGACUGACCAAUGGUAUCAAACACAUAGGAGGUAGCUGAUGGGGGUUAGUGACCCUGAGAGUAGGUUUAAUCCCAUGAAGCAGUGGAAGUCAGGCUGGUACGAGCUUAAGAUGUGAGAUGAUGAGGGAUGAUGAUGUAAAUGGAGACUAUUUUUGCAACGAGUUGCACCUGAAGAAGAGGAUGAAGAAAACGGGAGUCGGAGGAUGCAGCCAGGUUCAGGAAAGGGGGAUUUAAGAGUAAAAGAGGGCUUAGUAGGUUUGUAGACUGAAGGGUAGCAGCUGAUGGUAAGAUGAGGGGUUGAAAAUGUGAGAGAGAUGGACUAUAAUAGUGGGGCUUGGUUCAGAAGAUUCUUGAAGGAAGUAGGAUCAAGACAGGGAGGAGGCACCCUUCUUCCUUUACAACUUUGGGAAAGAGAACAGGACACAGGUUACAUGGAACAUCUAAGACAGAAGAGGAAAUUGAAGGUGCUCCUGUAAGAUAACUUGAAGCUGGACUUUUGAUUUAUCUUUAUUAUGUUUUAGGGGGCAAAAACAGCAAGGAUAUUUUAUUUAAAAAUCUACAAUUCUUAGAGUACUGUAUUUAAAAGACAACAUAAAUUGCCUUCCACAUAUAUUGUCAUAAUCCCCAGCCCAGCUCUAUCCUGCCAAAUUAAUCUGCCAAACCAGAUAAAAUAUUUUUUUUCAGCCACGAAGACAAUGCUCUUUUGGAUAAUACAAAACCAAACAAAAAUCUGUAGGUGUUUCUCAAAGCUAAAUUUCUGCAUUAGUAAGUCAAACAUUUAUCAUAAUCUCAGAUGGUGAAGACAUGUCUGCUGAGAUUCAAAAUCCAACAGUUUUAACAAAGAAAGAAGCUCUGCUUGCACUGAGAUUAUAUACAGGAACCCUCCUCUUUAUAGCAUCAAUCCAAUCAUUCAUGAGCUAGAAUUAUGCCACAUGCUGAAGGGGUUCAUAGAAAAUGGUCUCUAAAUUUCAAAAAAUUUACUGUACCAAGGUGGAAAUACACAAAUGCAUCUUUCAUAAAUACAAUAUGGUUGACAUCAUCGUAGGAAACUGUACCAUGGGCACAGGAACCCACUCAGAAGCACCUAACAGGGCUUCAGUGAGGUGAUGUGAGCUGGGUCUCCAAGGCUGACUUCAGGUUUGCCUCUUCUCUGAUGAGGGAAGGGCUGGGACGGUAAUGGCAUUGGGAGGUGGAGGAAAUAGAAAUGAGGGACAGGAUAUGAGGCUGGGCAGACUGUGGAAAGGAAUAUGGAUUGUAACAUGCUGGGGAAUAGAACCAACAAAGAUUUUGAACUGGAAAGAAGCAUAAUCAGACAUUACUGCCUAAUUUGUUUUAAACCAUUCAUUUAGCCAGUGGCUUAAACGAUACCCUCCUAUACACCGCCCCUUUUUGGUGAAAUUCCCAUAAGAUCUAAGGCAGGCAUCUCAUUCCUGCCUUUACAACUCUAAGAGACAAACUUUGAAGUUUUUUUUUUCAAUGUUGGUAUCAGUUUUUAUGACUCUUUAGAGAAGAGUGAAAUGGUCCAAGAGUUGUCACCAAAGUGUCAAAGUGACAUAAAAGCACAGCACACACCGUUUAUGGGUGGCUGCUACUUGGGCUGAUGUAUACGGAGCAGCUUUAUUUAAAGCUUUAUGCAAACUGACAUCCAGGCACCGUGAGGGGUCCUUGAGGAACGUGAAACACCAUCAUCACCAGGCUGACACGUGUGGCCACUGUGAUAAGGUAGAUAAUCUGCAACCCUUAAAACCUAGCUGUUGGACAUCAAGUUUCAGAGGAGAUUGAGUUGAGCAUGAGGAUAAGAGAAAAAAAAAAGUGUGUAUUGGUGUCAAAGUCAGCUCUCCAGGAUUCUUAUUCAGAUCCUAACCUCACAAUUAAAGCCCCCACAAAAGCCCACACUGAUUGUAGCCACCUUCACUAGAGUGUAGUUUAGAACCGCCCUUGGCACUUCCAACCCUCCAGAACACCUUCACCCUAUGUGGCUUAGGUAAGGAUUCCUUCCAUGCAGUGUCGGGAGAGGUUUCUGGUAAAUCAAGUUUCCCUCAUCACCUUAAAUUUCUAGUGGUGUUUUAACACCUCACUGAUAAAAAUUGUGCUGGGUCUGCUCACCAGGCCACCUUUAUUAAGAAUUCUCCUCAUCAUUCUAAUUACACACACACACACACACACACACACACAGAGGCAAUAAAGAUUUUUAAAACACACACAUUUUAACAUCUUUGCUUGAUUUAGAUCUAUUUAUUGCAAGAAAAAGCAUCAGUUUAAACUUCCCUGGAUACCUUUUUAAAAAUCAUCUCUUCCAUCGAUUCUUGUAAACUCUAAAUGUAUGAGAGAGUGGAGUUAGGUAUAUUUUUAGUGUGUUUUAUGCACACUAGUACAUGAGGCUCCCUUGUAUAACCCUUUUUACGAAGCUUCAAAGGUAAUUUUACAUUUAUCUUUGCAUUUAUGACAUUGUUGGUCAUGAUGACCACUUGAUGCCUAGUCCUUAUAAAUGGAGGCAACUCCUCCAUCCUGGUAUUGAUGCUAUGGAAAGAUGAGAACCAUUUUACAACGGCCCACAGGAUGAUACAAUUUGCAACAUUAGAACACAAGGAAGGUCUGCAUUUAUUAUGUGUCAAGAUUGUCAAGCAAUCGAUACAGAACUGGUUUUGUAUCCCAAAGAAAUAGAGAUAGAUUCCUGGAAUGGCCAUUAAUGAUAGUUAAAAUAAACAGAAUUCUGUGUCGAAUGGCUGCUUUAAUAGCAGAUAGGCUAUAUAAAGAGCUCUAUUAACCUAGCUGGAUGCUGUAUGCCAAAUACCUUCCCUUAUUCAGGGGAGAUUUCUUGGAAAAAGUAGAUCCUGUGGUGAAUUUUAAAGAACAGCAGUUAUAUGAUUUUAUCUCUUAGAAACCCAGUCUCUUAGUUUCAAAAACACUCCUCAAAUUGCUUGGUUCAAAGGGUAAUUUCCCAGUUUGUUUUUAUCAAGAUUAUGUCUAUACUGAAAGAAGCCACAAGACAGGAGGAAAUGCUCAGGCUUCCAGGAAUUCAAAGUCAGAUGGAUUCAAAUCCCAUCUCAGCUGCUGCUUAAGAUAUGGGGCUUGACUUAAUUCAUCUAAGUCUCAGUUUCCUCCACUGUAGAUGGGGAGGCGUAAUAUAAUGUACUUCCUAGGCAGGGUCCAAGCAAUAGAUGUAAACUGCCCAGUGUCUGGGCACAUCAGGGCACUCAAAAACUUGUAGCUAAUUUAAUAGCAGAGUUAAUGAUCAAAAAGGUAGAACCAGGGACCUUGACACUGGCAGUCAUCUCUGCAUGUUAUGAUAUUUUCUUUUUCUUUCCUUUUUUUUUUUUUUUUUUGAGAUAGAGUUUUGCCCUUGUUGCCCAGGCUGGAAUGCAAUGGGAUGAUAUCAGCUUGCUGCAACCUCUGCCUCCCAGGUUCAAGCAAUUCUCCUACCUCAGCCUCUCAAAUGGCUGGGAUUACAGAUGUGCACCACCAUGCCCAGCUAAUUUUUGUAUUUUUAGUAGAGACAGGGUUUUGCCAUGUUGGUCAGGCUGGUCUUGAACUCCUGACCUCAGGUGAUCCACCCGCCUCGGCCUCCCAAAGUGCUGGGAUUUGGCUAACUUCUUUUUUCAGAUCAUUUUCCAGAUUUCUGCUCUACAUACUACCUUUCAAUGAGGACUCUGCCAACCACUCUAUUUAAAAUUACUGGCCAGGUGUGGUGGCUCACACCUGUAAUCCCAACACCUUCAGAGACUGAGGCAGGCAGACCCCCUGAGCCCAGGAGUUCAAGACCAACCUGGGCAAUACAGUGAAACCCUGUCUCUACAAAAAGUACAAGAAAAAUUAACCAGACACAGUAGCAAAUGCCUGUGGUGCCAGCUACUCAGAAAACAGAUUAGGAGGAUUCACUGAACCUGGGAGGUCGAGGUUGUGAGCUGUGAUCACGCCGCUGCACUGCAGCCUGGGCAACAGAAUGAGACCGUCUCAAAAAUAAAAUAAAAUAAAAUAACACUCUACAGUCUUUCACCUCAGCACUUUACACCCUUGUUUAUAGAACUUGCUUUCUAACCAUAUAAGAAAAAAAAAUUCUUGUUUGUUUUACCAUUAUUAUCUGUUUUCUCAUUAGAAGAUAAGCUCCUCAAGGGCAUUUUGCCUGCUGAUCAAUUUCCAGUACCUGGUGAUUUUCUGAUAUUUGUUGAAUGAAUGAAAGAACUUCACUUAGAUUUGUUUUGCAUUUUGAAUGCUGGAUUAGUCAAAAAGGGGUGAUGCUUCCUCCCAGUACUCACACCCCAGCUUUAGAGUCAGGGCAACACCCAGUACACUGCUAACCAAGUGUCCUUAGAACCAAUGGAAGGCGGUCAACUAGCUCUAACAUAGGCAUACCAUGUAGUUGUGAGUGACAGAAAGCUUUGAUAGGCUUCAGUAUUCACCGCAUGCUCUUUUGCCUAAAAUCCUUCACAUUUAUGCCCAUCAAGUGGCACAGGGGAAAGAUGUUUGAACUUUCCAUGAAAACAGUAGGACACGCUUGCUAAAUCAACACCACCCUGAGUGUGAUGUCAAUCAAGUUCAUAACGUUCAACAGAAACCUGCUUUUUGCAAUUUGUGAACAGUUUUCACAUCCGCUAACUAUUCAUGCCUUGUUCGAGCAGAUGUGUCAACAUCUCAGCAAAACCCCAAAUAUCAAUCAAAUGGCAAUGACUGGAAUUUUAAUCAACUACAGGAGUUCUCAAAAAGAAUGGAGAAGACUCCAUGGCAACAAACAUGUCACAAAGUGGAUAAUGCCUUUUAAUCCUGACUACUGAAUCUUCAACAUCCACCCUACCCUUCUGCAAGUAGAGCACAAAUUCUACAAGACCAAGGACUAUGUUCAUGUCUUGUUCCCUGCACAGUGCUCGACACCUAAUAGGGACAUGAUAAAUAUUUAUGGAAUGAAUGAAUGAACUUAGUUAAUUCAAGACAUACUUCAAAGACCCUUUACAAAACCCAAUUGACACGGUUCAAGGACUAGGCAUGAAAGACAAAAAUUUUUUUUCACAGGAUGGAUGAGACUUGGCAGCAGUAUAUAUGGACAAAAAUCUGAGAAGUUUUAUUUUUCUCAAGCUUAAUGUGAGAAGAGGGCCAACUGUGCAAUUCAUCUGCUAAGUAAGCUAAUGCCAUCUCAGCCUAAAUUAAUAACUAAUAGAAGCAGUGUGUCCAGAGGAUAGGAAAUAAUGGUUCCCCUGCAGUUUUUACUGGUUAGACCACACCUAGAGGAAGGUUGUACAGGUCUGAGUGCACAUUUUAGGAAGAAAUACUGACAAAAUGAAUAGUCCAGAAACAACAUCUCAUAGGUGACAGCAGAAGGAAUUGGGAAGCAUGAGCACAUGCCUGGCAUUGCCAACCAGAGUAAGAGAGGUAUGUGGAGCAGUCCCACAUCCCAUCACCUUGGCCAACCUCAGCAGAGCCACCAAUUCAGCCAUCUCAGAUGCAUGAGCAAUGAACACUUGUUUUACACUCCUGAGGUUUUGUGAUUGUUGCCUAGUUCAAUUGCAAUAAUAGAUAAAUGACAAAAAGAGAAACAGUGGAAGAUCUAUUAAAUACAAGUGGAAGCAAAAUAGUUCCUUUUCCUUAGAAGAAGGGAAUGGAAAAACCGAUUCAAAUGGCUCUCAGGAAGAAAACUUUGGAUUCAGAAAAUUGUAGUUUUAUAAGGAUUGAAGCCAACCAUGAAAAGAACAGGCUUCAGUGAAUUUGAGCUUGGAAACCAACAAAGCUGGCCACCACACCACAGCUUCUCCUGAACCUGACUUGCUCUGGCCUAAUACUACUGAGCUUGAGAAUUCACUUAGGUCAAGGAUAUUAUCUGUUUUGUUUUUACGUCACUAUACAUUGAGAUAACAGUGCAGGAUCUGGUGCAUAGUAGGUAUGCAAUACAUAGUAGGUAAACCAAAAAUGAAUGGAGGAUGCCAAAACUGGCCUCCAGUCCCUGGAUCCAAGAGGGAAGAUGGCUGAAACUGGCUCAAGAAUCUUUCAUCAGAGGUCACCACCAGCGCACCAUGAAGUCUGAUCCACUGACACCAACAUCCCCUUGAAAUCAGGCUCCCUUCCUCCGUUCUUUCAUUGCUAUCAUUCAGAGUUACCACUUUCUUUUAAUCACCAUGAAGAGGGAUCCCACGUCCUUUACCAGGCCAUGAACAAAAGGAAGCAGGCUGGUUUUGGCCUGCAGGGUAUAGUUCCUUGACCUCGGCUUCAUCCAAACACUCUAAUUUCAUCUCGUAUUUGUAUCCUUGGAGUGCCCAAUGCCAGCAAUACAGCCUACCCCUGGAAGAUGCCCAGUAUUGACCAUUUGAAUUUGAUAAAAGAGAUCCAGAACUCAAAGAUCCUUGAUGCUUUUUAUCAAUUCCACUAAACGUCAAGGACAGGAAAUAAAAACAUUUUUCUCUUCCGACUCAAACACAAUACCCCUUUGUGAAGCUGCUAAAAAUCUAGAAAUGGCAAAUCUGGGAAAAUUUUCAGAAACCUGGCCAAGAUGUGAAGACCCAGACUGUGGCGCUAUGUUUGGGACUCAGAGGUCUGACACGGGAGCUGAGACUCAGACCAAAGAAUUAAGAUAGUAACAACAUGUUGUCAAUUAAUCAUGCUCAUAAGGUGGUCAAAAUGACCAUGAGGACACAUUUCAGUCUACCGGACAGUAUGCCAGCUUUCAUUCUUGUGCUCAAAGACAAAGAAGAAAGCUUUAAUUUGGUGCAAUAUGGGCCGAAAGUUUAGUUGUCAUAUAUAUUAAACUCAGCCUACAGUC
This is a long non-coding RNA of Homo sapiens (human), 28938 nucleotides long. RefSeq lists it as uncharacterized. Lineage: Eukaryota; Metazoa; Chordata; Mammalia; Primates; Hominidae. The transcript has 4 exons. The record is from RefSeq and is a predicted model, not a curated record.